GAUGAACGCUGGCGGCGUGCUUAACACAUGCAAGUCGAACGGGAACAUUUUAUUGAAGCUUCGGCAGAUUUAGCUUGUUUCCAGUGGCGGACGGGUGAGUAACGCGUGGGUAACCUGCCCUCACACUGGGGGAUAACAGUCAGAAAUGACUGCUAAUACCGCAUAAGCGCACGGAACCGCAUGGUUUUGUGUGAAAAACUCCGGUAGGUGUGAGAUGGACCCGCGUUGGAUUAGCCAGUUGGCAGGGUAACGGCCUACCAAAGCGACGAUCCAUAGCCGGCCUGAGAGGGUGAACGGCCACAUUGGGACUGAGACACGGCCCAG
RNAcentral lists this ribosomal RNA (324 nucleotides) under uncultured bacterium. Its description in RNAcentral is "bacterial SSU rRNA". It matches the Rfam family "Bacterial small subunit ribosomal RNA", at positions 28 to 334 of the family's 1533-position model. The record is from RNAcentral.